RNAcentral lists this ribosomal RNA (274 nucleotides) under uncultured bacterium. RNAcentral describes it as "partial 16S ribosomal RNA". It matches the Rfam family "Bacterial small subunit ribosomal RNA", at positions 523 to 796 of the family's 1533-position model. The record is from RNAcentral.
AUACGAGGGGUGCAAACGUUAUUCGGAAUCACUGGGUGUAAAGCGUGCGUAGACGGCAUGUCAAGCUUGUUGUUAAAUCUCUCGGCCUAACCGGGAGCUCGCGACGAGAACUGGCAAGCUAGAGGAUGGAAGAGAGAAGUGGAAUUCCCGGAGUAGCGGUAAAAUGCGUAGAUAUCGGGAGGAACACCGAUGGCGUAGGCAGCUUCUUGGUCCAUUCCUGACGUUGAGGUACGAAAGCGUGGGGAGCAAACAGGAUUAGAAACCCCAGUAGUCC